CCCCAGGAAGAGUUAGCUGCUGCAUGUGCAGUAGUUGAUGGAGAUCCUAAUGAACUAAACUAAACAGUAAGCUCUCUAGUUACAGCUGUUGACUGCCACCUGUAGACGUGCAUUAUGAAACAAACAACAUCUGCAUGCAACUGCAAGCAUUUGACCUGUAAUACUGUUGUCUUCACUUUCUCAGGAUGCGUUGUCGAACAAAUACAAUGCUGUCUUGGAAACCGAAGGAAAACUAACAAGAAAAGGCAACUGGAGCAGUCUUUCAUGAAGUAACAAGCUGCAUGGCACUUGGGUUUAAAAGGCAGAUAAUUUGGUAAAAACGCUUCCACAA
This is a long non-coding RNA of Coregonus clupeaformis (lake whitefish), 331 nucleotides long. RefSeq lists it as uncharacterized. The transcript has 2 exons. NCBI's taxonomy places the organism in Eukaryota, Metazoa, Chordata, Actinopteri, Salmoniformes, Salmonidae. The record is from RefSeq and is a predicted model, not a curated record.